CCUGGCGGCUUUAGCGCGGUGGUCCCACCUGACCCCAUGCCGAACUCAGAAGUGAAACGCCGUAGCGCCGAUGGUAGUGUGGGGUCUCCCCAUGUGAGAGUAGGGAACUGCCAGGCAUC
RNAcentral lists this ribosomal RNA (119 nucleotides) under Enterobacter asburiae. The record is from RNAcentral. Lineage: Bacteria; Pseudomonadati; Pseudomonadota; Gammaproteobacteria; Enterobacterales; Enterobacteriaceae.